RNAcentral lists this ribosomal RNA (468 nucleotides) under uncultured bacterium. Its description in RNAcentral is "partial 16S ribosomal RNA". It matches the Rfam family "Bacterial small subunit ribosomal RNA", at positions 28 to 507 of the family's 1533-position model. The record is from RNAcentral.
GACGAACGCUGGCGGCGUGCUUAACACAGGCAAGUCGAACGGAAAGGCCCUGCUUUUGUGGGGUGCUUGAGUGGCGAACGGGUGAGUAACACGUGAGUAACAUGCUCUUGACUUUGGGAUAACUUCAGGAAACUGGGGCUAAUACCGGAUAGGAGCUCCUGCUGCAUGGUGGGGGUUGGAAAGUUUCGGCGGUUGGGGAUGGACUCGCGGCUUAUCAGCUUGUUGGUGGGGUAGUGGCUUACCAAGGCUUUGACGGGUAGCCGGCCUGAGAGGGUGACCGGCCACAUUGGGACUGAGAUACGGCCCAGACUCCUACGGGAGGCAGCAGUGGGGAAUAUUGCACAAUGGGCGGAAGCCUGAUGCAGCAACGCCGCGUGCGGGAUGACGGCCUUCGUGUUGUAAACCGCUUUCGCCUGUGACGAAGCGUGAGUGACGGUAAUGGGUAAAGAAGCACCGGCUAACUACGUG